GACCGUAAUCCGAUCCCUCCC
RNAcentral lists this unclassified non-coding RNA (21 nucleotides) under Arabidopsis thaliana (thale cress). Lineage: Eukaryota; Viridiplantae; Streptophyta; Magnoliopsida; Brassicales; Brassicaceae. The record is from RNAcentral.